UACUGUUAAUGAUGAUUUUGAAAAAUGGGAAUCUCUCUGAAUGAGUGUGAAAGACUCUAGCAUUCCUGAAACAGUA
Erpetoichthys calabaricus (reedfish) is the source of this 76-nucleotide small nucleolar RNA. Its record names the gene SNORD79. It matches the Rfam family "Small nucleolar RNA SNORD79". Rfam says of the family: snoRNA U79 or Z22 is found in intron 7 of the gas5 gene in humans and is also present in mice. U79 is a member of the C/D class of snoRNA which contain C (UGAUGA) and D (CUGA) box motifs. The record is from Ensembl. NCBI's taxonomy places the organism in Eukaryota, Metazoa, Chordata, Cladistia, Polypteriformes, Polypteridae.